AAGAACAAGUGCCGUGCGAAUAGAGCGGCACCUUGACGGUACCUGACGAGGAAGCCCCGGCUAACUACGUGCCAGCAGCCGCGGUAAUACGUAGGGGGCAAGCGUUGUCCGGAAUUAUUGGGCGUAAAGCGCGCGCAGGCGGUUCCUUAAGUCUGAUGUGAAAGCCCACGGCUCAACCGUGGAGGGUCAUUGGAAACUGGGGAACUUGAGUGCAGAAGAGGAGAGUGGAAUUCCACGUGUAGCGGUGAAAUGCGUAGAUAUGUGGAGGAACACCAGUGGCGAAGGCGACUCUCUGGUCUGUAACUGACGCUGAGGCGCGAAAGCGUGGGGAGCAAACAGGAUUAGAUACCCUGGUAGUCCACGCCGUAAACGAUGAGUGCUAGGUGUUAGGGGGCUUCCACCCCUUAGUGCUGAAGUUAACGCAUUAAGCACUCCGCCUGGGGAGUACGGCCGCAAGGCUGAAACUCACAGGAAUUGACGGGGGCCCGCUACUGCGGUGGAGCAUGUGGUUUAAUUCGAAGCAACGCGAAGAACUUUACAGGUCUGACCUUUCGGACACCCUGGACACAGGGCGUUCCCUUCGGGGAC
Molecule: ribosomal RNA, 588 nt
Filed under: uncultured bacterium
Lineage: Bacteria
Description: bacterial SSU rRNA
Rfam family: Bacterial small subunit ribosomal RNA
Source: RNAcentral